AGCAACACCUCGGGGGGCCUCCUGGCUGAGAUAUGCGACUUGCAUGACCCGUUGAACCUGAACCGGUUAGGACCGGCGGAGGGAAGGUCUGGAAACACUAU
This 101-nucleotide non-coding RNA is filed under the name Rhodobacteraceae bacterium HTCC2083. RNAcentral describes it as "TPP riboswitch aptamer (THI element)". It matches the Rfam family "TPP riboswitch aptamer (THI element)". From Rfam's summary of the family: Vitamin B(1) in its active form thiamin pyrophosphate (TPP) is an essential coenzyme that is synthesised by coupling of pyrimidine and thiazole moieties in bacteria. The previously detected thiamin-regulatory element, thi box was extended, resulting in a new, highly conserved RNA secondary structure, the THI element, which is widely distributed in eubacteria and also occurs in some archaea. Lineage: Bacteria; Pseudomonadati; Pseudomonadota; Alphaproteobacteria; Rhodobacterales; Paracoccaceae. The record is from Rfam by way of RNAcentral. RNAcentral also lists the same sequence under 1 other name.